Hylaeus anthracinus is the source of this 834-nucleotide long non-coding RNA. RefSeq lists it as uncharacterized. The transcript has 3 exons. NCBI's taxonomy places the organism in Eukaryota, Metazoa, Arthropoda, Insecta, Hymenoptera, Colletidae. The record is from RefSeq and is a predicted model, not a curated record.
CAAUCGAUUUCCAAUCACUAAUCCUUUUGAUGUAGUUACACAUAAAACUGACACAUCAUUUAUUAGGACAACUUUAUCGGCUUUUUCCUACCCUUUAUCAAGUACAAUAUAAAUCACUUGUUUCGUAGGAUAUCGAUGACUUAACCCUUUAGCGUGAACACUAUUGCGUUAUAAAAAGUGACAUCUCUACUUUAAGAAAGUAGUUGCGGUUAUCAAGAGGACAAAGGACAUGAUCAUUUUAAAUGAAGAAAGAAGUCAGAUUACUAUAGCAUCGUGGGAAACAUCAUUUUUACUGAUAUUUCAAGAAACUAGCAGCGAUUAUCAAGAGAAGGAUCAAUCGUAACAGACUACAUAUAUGGAUCAUGAUAGCAUCCCAGCGAAACAAUGAAGACGUCGGACACAGUAAUUAAAGAAUCACGACCGUUACUAUUUUACAAAUAUAAAAAUAUAUUUAUCAUGUGGGUUCAGUUAUUACAUUUAUUAAUUUCCAAGUUCGAUGCUUCGAUUGAAUAUGUUUACCAGCGUUACUCUUCUCAGAUAUAGAGUGCGCUUUACCACAAUUCGCCUUUGUAGACAGUCGGUAAAUGAAGCAUACGAUCGGUAAAAAUUACAACUAAAUGUAUGUCGAGAAAUAAAUUGUUUAUUUUGGAAAUAAUCAAAAUUUCAGUCAAUCUGAAUCGAUUUGUACACAGGAAACAAAAUGCAAAGAACAAUAUUUCUAUAGAUUAUUAGUAUACAAUAUAUAUGUAAUAGCUUCCAAAGCUGAUAGAAUGAAUCAAACAUAAAAUAUUGUAAAAUAUUUCAUCUAAAUUGUAAUAUAUAUAUAGAAAUGAA